RNAcentral lists this ribosomal RNA (520 nucleotides) under uncultured Glomus. RNAcentral's name for it is "SSU rRNA". It matches the Rfam family "Eukaryotic small subunit ribosomal RNA", at positions 569 to 1090 of the family's 1831-position model. Lineage: Eukaryota; Fungi; Glomeromycota; Glomeromycetes; Glomerales; Glomeraceae. The record is from RNAcentral.
AGCAGCCGCGGUAAUUCCAGCUCCAAUAGCGUAUAUUAAAGUUGUUGCAGUUAAAAAGCUCGUAGUUGAAUUUCGGGAUCAAUUAGUCGGUCGUGCCUCUGGUACGUACUGGUUUUAUUGGUUCCUCCCUUCUGACGAAACAUGAUGUCAUUAAUUUGGUGUCGUGGAGAAUCAGGACUGUUACCUUGAAAAAAAUUAGAGUGUUUAUAGCAGGCUAACGCUUGAAUACAUUAGCAUGGAAUAAUGAAAUAGGACGUUCGACCCUAUUUUGUUGGUUUCUAGGAUCGACGUAAUGAUUAAUAGGGAUAGUUGGGGGCAUUAGUAUUCAAUUGUCAGAGGUGAAAUUCUUGGAUUUAUUGAAGACUAACUACUGCGAAAGCAUUUGCCAAGGAUGUUUCAUUAAUCAAGAACGAAAGUUAGGGGAUCGAAGACGAUCAGAUACCGUCGUAGUCUUAACCAUAAACUAUGCCGACUAGGGAUCGGAUGAUGUUAACUCUUUAAUGACUCAUUCGGCGCCGUU